Long non-coding RNA from Triticum dicoccoides, 1059 nucleotides. RefSeq lists it as uncharacterized. The record is from RefSeq and is a predicted model, not a curated record. The transcript is spliced from 3 exons. Lineage: Eukaryota; Viridiplantae; Streptophyta; Magnoliopsida; Poales; Poaceae.
CCUUUGGUUUGUUUCAUGAGGAUAUUUUUAUUCAGUGCAUACAUGUUGAUUUGUUCAUGUGUUUAAAAGUACGAGCAGAAUGCUGGAUGUACCUGCAGUAGUAGUCCAGCAGAGGAUCUUCCUAGCGAUUUGGAUGUAUAGAGUUUAUGAUGCGGAAACCUAAUUUUGUCUUUGUACAGAUAUCGGAUUUUCUCCUUUCUCUUUGUGAACUCUUUUGAUAUGUUAUUUACUCCUAAUUUCAACUUUUCACGGUUUGUUCUUCUUCCAAGAUUUCAGGGAUUAUGGACCACUGUAUGGACAGAUAUGAUCCUUGACUCUCGUUGUUCUUGGCGUGUUGCUGCCAUUUUACUAGGCAGAAUCCAUGCACGACCGAGACCUCAGUCUAUCCACUGUACGAGUGUUUAAUGAAUUUACUCUUCUCCAUGGCAUGUCCAUGAGGGCAGAAAUUUCAUGCUUCAAAUCUGUUUGGCGAGAACUUUUUCAGGCCUGGAGAUGUCCUAGUGAACUGGUUAAUGAUUUUCGAAAAGUGGAGCUGCACUCAAGGUUUGAGAUAUAGUUUAUGUCGAUAGGAUGAGUUGUUUGAUCUCUUUGCCCUGUUCUUUGAGAUGGGUUGUGAUCAAAACUCUUGGCGCCACGAGCAACAAUUGAGGCUCCUCUUCAUAAGCACAAAAUCUGCAGUAAGCAGAAAUUGGAGAGGUAAACCAAAUAGUGUUCAUUAUGAGCUAAUCUGGACCAUGUACAGAUUCCACCAGAGUUAAACAAAAUUUCUGUACUGAAGGUGGUGUGGCAUUGAAGCUGUGAUGUCCUCGGCCAUGCCCGCCAUCGAAAUCUCCGUUAUUUUCCUCUACUUGUAUUCCACCUUCUCGUUGCAAUUCAAUUUUUAGGAUCAACAGUAUCUAUGCAAUUAAUUUCAAACUUCGCAGGAUUUUCAACAUGUCAGUCACACUCUAAUAAGUGUUCAUCUUUAAUUUCCUACCCUAUAGUAGGCAACACAAUUUGCUAUAUAUGCAUGAACACUGAUAAAUUAAUUUGUGUUAGUAUGUAGUGGUUCAGGGAUGC